This 253-nucleotide ribosomal RNA is filed under the name uncultured bacterium. RNAcentral describes it as "partial 16S ribosomal RNA". It matches the Rfam family "Bacterial small subunit ribosomal RNA", at positions 524 to 776 of the family's 1533-position model. The record is from RNAcentral.
UACGUAGGGUGCGAGCGUUAUCCGGAAUUAUUGGGCGUAAAGAGCUCGUAGGCGGUUUGUCGCGUCUGCUGUGAAAGCCCAGGGCUUAACCCUGGGUUUGCAGUGGGUACGGGCAGGCUGGAGUGCAGUAGGGGAGACUGGAAUUCCUGGUGUAGCGGUGAAAUGCGCAGAUAUCAGGAGGAACACCGAUGGCGAAGGCAGGUCUCUGGGCUGUUACUGACGCUGAGGAGCGAAAGCAUGGGGAGCGAACAGG